CAGCCCUGUGAAGGUGAGCAAAUCCCAAAAAUAACGUCCCAGUUCGGAUUGUAGUCUGCAACCCGACUACAUGAAGCUGGAAUCGCUAGUAAUCGCGGAUCAGAAUGCCGCGGUGAAUACGUUCCCGGGUCUUGUACACACCGCCCGUCACACCAUGGGAGUCGGAAAUGCCCGAAGCCGGUGACUCAACCUUUAAGGAGAGAGCCGUCGAAGGCAGGUCUGAUAACUGGGGUGAAGUCGUAACAAGGUACC
This 252-nucleotide ribosomal RNA is filed under the name uncultured bacterium. Its description in RNAcentral is "partial 16S ribosomal RNA". It matches the Rfam family "Bacterial small subunit ribosomal RNA", at positions 1250 to 1500 of the family's 1533-position model. The record is from RNAcentral.